Molecule: long non-coding RNA, 464 nt
Organism: Scophthalmus maximus (turbot)
Lineage: Eukaryota; Metazoa; Chordata; Actinopteri; Pleuronectiformes; Scophthalmidae
Exons: 3
Source: RefSeq, a predicted model, not a curated record
UGUUGGCCUGGGUGUAGUCGGUGGAGCCGGCUGAUUGGCCGCCUUCGGGCGUGGCGUUGCUGACAACGACGGCGGCGGCGGUGACGUACGGAAGGUCACAGUUCAACGGAACCGUCUCCUCGAACUUGGCGUUCAGACUCGACUUACUGGAUCGACUGCAGAGAGAAGAAACUUUCCCUCGUGGACCUGGAUGGUGUUCAGCUCCUGGACGUUUCCCCUCAGACCCACCGUCGUGUUGGAGUUUGGGACGAUGAAGGUUUUCCUCUUACUGCGGGCGCAGCAGGAAACAGUGCAGCAGGUGAUGGUGAUGCACCUCGAAGGUCGGGUUGGUGUUGCACACCAACGCUCGUCCUGCUUCCUUUGACGCCUUCAGGAAACAGACAGAUCACAUGCCCACAGAGUGAGUGUGUGUGUCUCUGUGUGUGUGUGUGUGUGUGUCUCUGUGUGUGUGUGUGUGUGUGUCU